GUUUUUUUCUUCGAUCAUUUUUGU
RNAcentral lists this small RNA (24 nucleotides) under Arabidopsis thaliana (thale cress). RNAcentral describes it as "ATSL185140". The record is from RNAcentral. Lineage: Eukaryota; Viridiplantae; Streptophyta; Magnoliopsida; Brassicales; Brassicaceae.